UAUCGAGAAAAUGCGAGAUUUGUUUACGUCUUGUUUUUGGUAAGCAAUUCGACGUGUAGGCUUAGAAAAAAAUACUUGUAAGCUGUCAAAAAAUGAUUUGUCAAUACUUUGAAAUAAUGUGAGACUUACAAAAAUCUCCAACGACUCUCAUUUCGUGGUUUGCAACCGGUGACAAUUGAAUUUUCACAAAAUAUUGAUUAUUCUGAGCGACCUAUUACGUCAUGUAAAAACGGUGUAUUUUCGGUACUGCACCAAGUAUGUUCUGGAAAUGCGUCUAUUUAUGUUAGUUAAGACGAUUCACUGACAGUUAAAUGUUGAUGUUGGAUUUGUACGUAUCAUUUUUGAGUUGUGCAGUCCACCUUGCACUCUUGAUGUUGAAUACCAUUAUCCCUGGGAUUUUGCUCAGCGGGUGCAUUAUCCACAUCAUUUACAACAAGUUGGACCAAUUUAUUUCCAUACCCUAAGGAAGCGCCAUGUGUUUGGUGUAUGUGCAGAAGGACCAGGCAAACAAACUUUUAUUUUAUUGAUGAAAGUCAGUGUACUGGUGAAGGAGUGGAAGGUGUGGUGUCUAGGGCUCAUCAUUAUUUGCAGUUCUAUGGUAUAGGAGAAAAACAUGCACAGAUACAUUUCCAUAAUGCAGCUGGGCAGAACAAAAACAACUAUGUCAUUUGGUAUGCAGUUAUGGAGCACUUUAAUAUGACUACAUGAAACUGUUGCAAUGAGUAUUUUGGUGACAGGGCACGGGAAAUUCAAACCAGAUUAGCAUUUUGAUAUAUGGAAAGUGAAGUGGAGAGAUUCUGAUGCAUAAACUAUGACCCAAAAUGGCUGACACUGUGAGACAGUCAUCAAAAGGGGGUCACAAUGUUCCACAAGUAGUUGAUAAUCCUGAAACACCUGUUGUUUUUACAGCUUGAGGCAAUUUCUUGAACAGUAUUGAACAGUAUAUUAAACCAGUUAAACAGUUGUCUAAAUACCAACUUUCUUUGUCAGUUCAGUUGAACCAGGUGUUGUAUGUUGAAAAGACUAUUUUAAUUAUGAAGAAGUUAAAGUAACUAUAUUGAAGCAAGUACCCGAUAAAAAUGCUAAGCUUGUAGUAAAAGCUUUUUCAGGUCUGAAUGUGGCCUGUCAGUGGUAUUUGUCUUAAACUUUUUGAGAUUGCUUCUUAACACACUGUUUUGAUUUUCUAUCCAUAUUAUUCAGGGUUGUAAAUUUUUAGCUCGACUAUUCGAAGAAUAAGUAGAGCUAUCCUACUCACCACGGCGUCGGCGUCGGUGUCGGUGUCGGUGUCGGCGUCACACAUUUGGUAAGUUUUUCGUACCCGUCCACUUUUUGACAAAGUCUUUUGAGAUAAAGCUUCGAAACUUUCAACACUUGUUUACCAUCACCAUGGCCAGUUAUAGGCAAAAGCACAUAACUCUAUCUAGGAUUUUGGCUGAAUUAUGGCCCCUUUUGACUUAGAAAUCGUGGUUAAGUUUUUCGUAGCAGUUGAUAUUUUGGCAAAGUCUUUUAAGAUAAAGCUUUGAAACUUUCAACACUUGUUUAGCAUCAACAUGUCUAGUUAUAGGCAAGAGCACAUAACUCCAUCAAGGAUUUUGGCUGAAUUAUGGCCCCUUUUGACUUUGAAAUCUUGGUUCAUAUUUUGACAAAGUCUUUUGAGAUAAAGCUUUGAAACUUUCAACACUUGUUUACCAUCACCAUGUCCAGUUAUAGGCAAGAGCACAUAACUGCGUCAAUAAUUUUGGCUGAAUUAUUGCCCUUUUUGACUUAGAAAUCUUAGUUAAGUUUUUCGUACCAGUUCAUAUUUUGGCAAAGUCUUUUGAGAUAAAGCUUUGAAACUUUCAACACUUGUUUACUAUCACCAUGACCAGUUAUAGGCAAAUGUGCAUAACUCCAUCAAGGAUUUUGGCUGAAUUAUGGCCCCUUUCUACUUAGAAAUCUUGGUUAAGUUUUUUGUACCAGUUCAUAUUUUGUGUAAAGUGUUUGACAUGUGUCUUUGAAACUUUUAUCACUUAUUCAGUAUAAUAGUCUAUAUCUGUAGGAAAGAGUACAUAACUCUAUCAUCUAAUUUGGCUGAAUAACAGCCCUUUUUGGACUUGGAAAUCUGUUCUGUUUUCAUACAAGUCUAUGUUUUGUCAAAACUAUUUGACAUAACGCUUUUAAACUUUGAACACUUGUUUAUCAUUAUGAUUUCCAUCUGUAGGCAAGAGUACAUAACUCUGACAACUAUUUUGGCUGAAUUAUGGCCCUUUUUGGACUUUGAAAGUGGUUCACACAUUGCCAUUUACUGCAAGACUUAUCGAAAUCCACAAAUACUGGAACAUUGUCUAAUCUAUCUUUUUUCUUUUGUCUGAAUAUCUAUGUUAAUAUUUUGACCCCGUUAUUCAAUCAAUUCUUCGAAUAGUCGAGCGCGCUGUCAUCAGACAGCUCUUGUUUGUGGAUAUUGUUAUGCUUGAAUUCUUGUUAGAUUAUGAAAAUACUAUGUUGUUGAGGGUUUAUAAAAAGAUGAUUAAACCAUUAUAAAUGUGAUGCGAAGUCACUGUGAAGUUCUGUUUGCAAAUGCAACUUGUUUUUAUUUAUUUUUUUUGUUAAAGAAAAGUUAUUUUGCCUUCAAACUACCUUCUUAUUUUAGAUAGAUAUCUUCAAGUCUGCUUCCUGAAACAUUGUUUAGAUUUUGGAUGAAGAUUAUUUCAUAUUACAAAACAUUUUUAUCAUCAUUCAAGGGUUGACAGCUAUAUAAUUAGCAGAAGAGAUGAAAUAUUCUCUGGUUGCUAGGCAACAGGAAAAACCAUUAAAGUUAUAGACAUUUUUUAAUGAUAGUUCUUUGGUUGAUAGUUCUUUGCUUCAAUGCAUAUUUUACAACCAAAUUUUUAACAGCUCACCUUCAUUUUGAAUUAAUAUCAAUAUGCUAGCAGUAUUUUGUAGGGAAUUGAAAUUGAAGUAAAAUUUUGAAAAGGGACUUUCCUGUCAGAUGUCUGUAUAUCUUCAAAAGUUUUCAAUUCAAUGACUUGAAUUUUUCAAGACUGUCUGUUUAUAAGUUUUGUUUACAUUUUCAUUUGAUCUUUAAAUGAAUGCAAAUGUUUAAGUCAACUUAUAAGUCUUAAAACCUAAAAAAUCAUGGAAAUUGUGAAAAAUUCCAUUGUUGCUAAGCAACAGAAAUAUUGAGGUCGCUGUUUUGUAACUAUAUUUGUGCUUUAUUAUCAUAGUUUUAUUUCAUAUAGCCAUAUUUGCAAAGAAAACACACUGUUAAGGGCUUGUAAAACACUGAAGAUUAAUAUUACUAGGUGCAGGAAAUUUUGUAAAAAGAUCCUGUUUGCAGAUGAAAUAUUUUGCACAUUGUCUAUGUAUUAAAAUAUUUUUUUCUUCAAAACCACUUUAUAUAUUGCCCAGAAAAUUUCAUGACUGUUUAGGUAGAGAAUGUUAUUACCCAUUUUGAAAUAAAAAUUCAUUUGUGACAUAAUUACACUUAAAUUAUUGUCAUGUAUAGCUUAAAAAGUAAGAAAAAUGGAAUAUUUUCUGGUUGCUAGGCAACCGAAAUGAAAACUUUUGUCUACUGCAAUCCGUUUUUUGUCUCAAAAUGUUGUUUUCACAUUAAAUAAAGAAACUGAACACAGCAAAUUGCUUAUGUAUUUUAUUUUCUAUUUACAAAACUGUAUUUCAUAUGCUUACCUGAAGGCAAGAAAAAUGCCUCCAAAUCAGUGCAGAUUGGAACAUAUCUAAAAUGGUUGUCAACAUAAAAUUCAAUGUAACUUCACCAUUUUUUGAGAUUUGACACUCAAAUUUUCAGGAAUUUCUUAUGAGAUGUCAUAAAAUUCAGAAAUAAAGAAAAGUCAAAAAACAUUUUUUUGGUCCAUAAGCCCCAUUUUUACAUUCCAUGACACAUAUCAACAAGACAGUAAAAUCCUAUAUAGCCUUGUACUCACAUUACAGUCACUACAGCAAAAACAUCAAUCCAACAUCGAUAAUUGCCGACUGUGGUAUGUGAUCCCAUUGGAAAUCAGGUAUUUACCCUUUCAAAACGUAAUUUUCAAAAUGAUAUAAUUGUCGGAGCUCAGUUUGUUUUGAAGUUGUCAAGACUUUGAUCGGUUCACAACAUCUUUUUUAUCUAUAUUAAAUAUGUUUUGAAAUGUUUUAGAAAUAAAAUGACCGUA
Mercenaria mercenaria is the source of this 4148-nucleotide long non-coding RNA. RefSeq lists it as uncharacterized. NCBI's taxonomy places the organism in Eukaryota, Metazoa, Mollusca, Bivalvia, Venerida, Veneridae. The record is from RefSeq and is a predicted model, not a curated record. The transcript is spliced from 5 exons.